This 2531-nucleotide long non-coding RNA is filed under the name Citrus x clementina. Its description in RNAcentral is "Citrus clementina (C. clementina) long non-coding RNA (CCLE_LNC003558)". Lineage: Eukaryota; Viridiplantae; Streptophyta; Magnoliopsida; Sapindales; Rutaceae. The record is from RNAcentral.
UAAAUAAAAAUUAAAGUGUAAAGUACUUUUUUAUUAUUAAUUAUUCCUUAUUUAAACAAUUCACAAUGAAUUAUAUCAUUUAUUUGAUUUGUCUAAAUUUAUUAGGAGUAAAACUAACAAAGGAGCAAAAAAAUUGAGAGAGAAAAAUGUGCUGAGGCAUUUUACAAUUUAUGGAGAUGUAAUGACCUUUUAAAAUUAACUGCAUGAAUUAUAUCAUUUAUUUGAAUUGUCUAAAUUUAUUAGGAAAAACUAUCAAAGGAGCAAAAAAAUUGAGAGAAAGAAAUGUGCUAAGGCAUUUUACAGUUUAUGGAGAUGUACUGACCUUUUAAAAUUAACUGCAUGGAUGUAGAAACAUCUACCCAAGAGCAAAAGCGUCUGCGUACAGGAAAGACGUCGUGAAGAGGAAAAGGUGAUAUAAACAAACUAAGCAUGGAAAAUGGUAAAAUGUAUGCUUUCGUUCGAAAAUAAAUAAAUUGCAUGCUUACUUCACCUAUUGUGAUGUCAUCAAACGCAUCCAAUAACUAUAAGAUAAAAGUUGAGUUCGGCUACGUUGGAUCAGCUCCAUAAUGGAGCACUGAUGAUGACCGAUUAUAGAAAUAAAUACUAAAUCUACACUUACUAAUACGAUUUAAUGGUUCUUAUUAGUGUUCCACCAUGGAGUUGAUCUAACUUAGCCACUGCCUUAUGCAAUCCUUGAUAGCUAUUCCAUGCAUAGUUGUAGGCACCAUCUUGAGCAUCACAAAAAAGAUUAUCUAAUUUUAUUUUUUAAAUAUUUAUUUAUUUAUGUGAUAGAUAACAAAGUAACAAAAAAUUCUCUUAUAAAAGUCUUCUUAAAUAUAAAUAAGUUUAAAUUAUUUUAAUUGAAUUUUUCUCAUUAUAUAUUUUCAAUAAUAAUGAUACAAAAAAAUAAUAUAAUAUUAUUUAAAGAGGGUGAAAUCACUCUUCAAUAUUAUAGAAAGAGAAGACUCUCUCAUUUGAAUCUCUUAAAAAUCCUUUUGUUGAUGUAACUCUUCAAAUAAGAAGUGAAAUCUCAUUAGAAAAGUUUUUUGGUGAAUUUAAUUUAUAUUUCCCCAAAAAGAUCUCUAUCGCAUUCAAAUAAUAGACAGAUUUUUAAGCCAAACAAAUUUUAAAAAUUUCCACCCAAGUCGCAACAAUGAGAUAAUUGUCAUCAGUUGAACAAUAAUGCUAUUUUGGUCGUUUUAGCUGUUGUCGGGCUUCAUGCUGUGAAAAAAAUCAAUAUUUUUCGCAGUAAACAGCAUUUUUCUUGGCAUAAAAUUAACUCAAAUACGAUUAGAUCCACAACAAUCUUAGGUCAAUAUUGCUCAAAAGGUCAACAUCCUCAAGCACAAAUAUCUAGCUCAUCAGUCACUAAAUUAACUAAAACACAACCAGGUCCAUUACAAUUAUCUCAGACGUCGAUCGUCAACCGCUGAUUAAUCUCGAAGAAAAAGCUUUGCUAUAAGCAGGGCUGCGUCAAAACGAAAUUUCCACUCAGGACUUUUUGACUGUUGACAGAAAUUUCCCUCACUGCAUAUUUAGCUGAAGUAUUGGCUAUGGAAUAUUGCUUCAUAAAUCUCUUAACUAAUUUGUCAGUAUAAAUACAUGCUUGACAAAAAAUGGAAUGGAUGAUAGAGCAUACAUUGGGAGCGCCCACCCAAAACUUUUCCAGUACAAAUCUCACAAUAAUUUUUGCAACACACAGCAAAUCAUGUUUUGCUAUGAUUUUUUAUUUUUUAUUUUAUUUAUUUAUUUAUUCAUUUAUUUUCUAGCAUUUUGUUUAUUCAUUUAUUUUCUAGCAUUAACACAAAUAUUUCAUCAUUUUGUUCAACAAUCUAUGACGUUUCUAAGUUGUUUAUACGAAUGUGACAUUUUAUUUAAUUUCUUUUAGGUUAUUUUAGUAUGACGCAUUUUCUUUUUCUUUUUUUAAACAAGAAUGCUACUAACAAAUACAUCUUAAAUAAAAUUUCCUUUUAGUUUCCAUCGCGCAUUCAUUCAACUUGUUUUUUCAGCAGCAUUUGUUUUGUCUUAGCCUUUGGGUUGUCUUGUGGUUCUUGACUCGAGCCUUCAGUCGACCGAUAUGUAACCUCAUUAUCAAUGGCAACUUAAGGACUUUUUGGCUGCCACACGACGACCACCCAUGUUCAUUUGUUGUUUUUCUAUCCCUGUUUUUUCCCCUCCUCUUCCCUUUUCUGAAGGAAAAAUCUUGGAACCAUCUUAUUCUGUGGGCCAAGAUCAUAAAACAUAGAGCAAGGGGCUUAGGUUUAAUUUAGGUAAGUUAAAAACCGAAAGUAACGCGCAAAUUUUAUAAAACCUGCUUGUUUUCAUCAUGACAUCAUAGCCCUUAGCUACAUAUAUAUAUUCAUACAAAUUGAAGUAAGAUUGCUGCUAUUAUAUAUUACAUCAUUAAUUCAAGAGCUUAAGGGUGACUUUAAGUAUAAGCAAAGUAGGCGGUCGCCUAAGGCCGCAUGUGUUAUGAAGGUCCCAUUGUGACCACCUAGACCCCAUAUAUUAAUAAGACUCUUUAUUUUUAG